UCCAGAGGGUGCAAGCGUUAAUCGGAAUUACUGGGCGUAAAGCGUGCGUAGACGGUAGCGUAAGUCGGGUGUGAAAGCCCCGGGCUCAACCUGGGAAUGGCAUUCGAGACUGCUCUGCUAGGGUGCGGAAGAGGGGAGCGGAAUUUCCGGUGUAGCGGUGAAAUGCGUAGAUAUCGGAAGGAACACCAGUGGCGAAAGCGGCUCCCUGGUCCAGCACCGACGUUCAGGCACGAAAGCGUGGGGAGCAAACAGG
This 253-nucleotide ribosomal RNA is filed under the name uncultured bacterium. Its description in RNAcentral is "partial 16S ribosomal RNA". It matches the Rfam family "Bacterial small subunit ribosomal RNA", at positions 524 to 776 of the family's 1533-position model. The record is from RNAcentral.